UUUAAUGGCCGCAGUAAUUUGACUGUGCAAAGGUAGCAUAAUCAAUAGUUUUUUAAUUGAAAGCUUGUAUGAAAGGUUGGACGAGAUAAAUUCUGUCUCUUUAAAAUUUUAUAAGAAUUUAAUUUUUAAGUUAAAAAGCUUAAAUAUUAAUAAAAGACGAGAAGACCCUAUAGAGUUUUAUAUUUUUAUUAUUAAGAUUAAUUUAGAUUAUUUAUUUUUUUAUUAUAUAUAAUAUUUUAUUGGGGUAAUAGAAAGAUUAAAUUAAUUCUUUUUUUUUAUUUAUAUUUAUUUAUAUUUUAUUGAUCCAGUUUUAUUGAUUAUAAGAUUAAAUUACCUUAGGGAUAACAGCGUAAUUUUUUUAGAGAGUUCAUAUUGAUAAAAAAGUUUGCGACCUCGAUGUUGGAUUAAAGAUUAGUUUAGGUGCAAAAGUUUAAAUUUUUGGUCUGUUCGACCAUUAAAUCUUUACAUGAUCUGAGUUCAGACCGG
This 486-nucleotide ribosomal RNA is filed under the name Anillus cebennicus. RNAcentral's name for it is "partial large subunit ribosomal RNA". The stretch from base 341 to 486 matches the Rfam family "Bacterial large subunit ribosomal RNA", at positions 2473 to 2619 of the family's 2925-position model. Lineage: Eukaryota; Metazoa; Arthropoda; Insecta; Coleoptera; Carabidae. The record is from RNAcentral.